This 253-nucleotide ribosomal RNA is filed under the name uncultured bacterium. RNAcentral describes it as "partial 16S ribosomal RNA". It matches the Rfam family "Bacterial small subunit ribosomal RNA", at positions 524 to 776 of the family's 1533-position model. The record is from RNAcentral.
UACGUAGGUGGCAAGCGUUGUCCGGAUUUAUUGGGUUUAAAGGGUGCGUAGGCGGUUUUUUAAGUCAGUGCUGAAAUACUCCAGCUUAACUGGAGGGGUGGCAUUGAUACUGGAAGACUUGAGUACAGAUGAGGUAGGCGGAAUUGACGGUGUAGCGGUGAAAUGCAUAGAGAUCCGGAAGAACACCGGUGGCGAAGGCGGCCUGCUGGGCAGUAGCUGACGCUGAGGCGCGACAGCGUGGGGAGCAAACAGG